UGCUUGAUCCUUCUUUGUGAUUCGUUUGUGUUUUAGCUUUUAUUUUCGGAACUUUAUUAACUACAAACUUGGCUAUUCAAACGGACUCUGAUUGAUUGCAAUAACGACAUACUCAGCCUGGGAUUUACUGUUUUUGUGUGGCUCGGCCAAGGCUCGGCUGGUGGUUCUAUGGUGUUAGAAAAUGAGCAACUUAAUUAUACACAACAAUGGGCAGCACCUCGAUCGGUUACAGCUCAUGAUCUUAUAUGCACAACAUGUUGGACCCAAGCCCAAGAUACAACACAAAUGCAUCUACUUCAAAUCUUAGCAGAAAAUGUGUGCUUUGCAGUAGAACACUAGAGCCUAGAACACGUUCACAUCAGGAACAUAAUUGUGGAACGACUAACUCCAUUAGAGGUUACUGCAAAUGACUACAUCUGUGGGGCUUGUCACUCAUUAUUGCAAAGAGAUACCACACCUACUUCACAAGACUCUCCAGAUAUGCCAACCGGUGCCCCGGUAGGUCACCAACAAGUUUGUGUGAUACCACACCUACUUCACAAGACUCUCCAGAUAUGCCAACCGGUGCCCCGGUAGGUCACCAACAAGUUUGUGUUGGAUGUGGUUGUUCAUUAUUGCGAACUUGAAGUCAUUGUUUGGAUACAGAGAAUAAUCAAGAUAUAUUAAACAUUGUUCGAAAUUGGAUUCAACCCAGAGAGAUUCGUCCUUCAGAUCUUCUUUGCCAUAGAUACUAUCAGAGAGCACGAAUUACUACAGUUGGUGCUUAUUUAAUGAAGCUGAGGACCGGUGAUUCAGAUGACAGAAUAGCUACAUUACUUGGCAUUUCAAGGAGUACUCUUACAAAAUAUGUAAUGAAAGCACGCAGUAGGUAUGAUGGAGGAACAUUUCGUACCAGCACAUUUAGGGUUACAACAUAUUAGUAGAGAGGAAGUAGCCCAAAGAAACCUUUAUGUUCCAGUCUCUUUUCGGGAAGCCAGGAAACGAUUUACCACAAAGAAAGGCUAUUGUCAUCAUGGAUGGUACAUACAUACAUUUAUGUGCAAAAAAGUAGCAAUUAUGCAUACCAAAAAAAAAACUUAUUCCCUAUACAAAUAUCGGAAUCUCGUUAAACCAUUUAUGGUACUUUGUUGUGAUGGCGACAUCAUUGAUGUAUUGGGCCCAUAUUUAAUAGAAAAUGUAGAACAUGACCAUUAAUAAAUAAUAAGUACCUA
Molecule: long non-coding RNA, 1211 nt
Organism: Ostrinia nubilalis (European corn borer)
Lineage: Eukaryota; Metazoa; Arthropoda; Insecta; Lepidoptera; Crambidae
Exons: 4
Source: RefSeq, a predicted model, not a curated record